GUGCUCUUCCUUCUUGUUAUGCUUCUCUUCCUUGUUAUGGGUUAAUUGGUUGCAUUGCUUUCUUAUUAAAGAUAAAUAUAUGACUGUAGUACCUUGGAUGUUGGAACUUGUAGUCAGUAUUAUUUUGGAACAACAUUAUCGUAGUGUUGACUGAAAUCGAGCCGGCUCCUUUUCAAUUCCAUGCUGGAGGACCUUGUUCAGAUUUGGAGGUGAUGAUAUGCAGGGAGGUUGCAGGGAUAUGCACCAUUGUCUCCAAGAAGAGGGAGCUCCAGAAGCAGGGCAUGAGUGCUUUCAUAUUGGAUGCCACUAAGAAAAUGUAGCAACGUCGCCUGCUGUUCAAGUAUUUUUCAGAAAUCCUGCACUCAUUUUCCUCUCGGCACGCGACGCAUGGUCCGCGUUCCCGCGCCACUCAAUUUUUUAUAUCUAUUUCUAUGAUUAUGAUCUUCCUAUUGCCCUUUUUGAAGCAAGUUAUCUCUGCAAAAUUUUACUUGUCAGCAAACUCAUUUAUUGAAAUCAAAUCAUCAUUGUACACUUUACAACA
Long non-coding RNA from Panicum virgatum (switchgrass), 541 nucleotides. RefSeq lists it as uncharacterized. Lineage: Eukaryota; Viridiplantae; Streptophyta; Magnoliopsida; Poales; Poaceae. The record is from RefSeq and is a predicted model, not a curated record. The transcript has 2 exons.